CUGUCAUAUUGAAGGGAAAUUAAAUAUGUUUAAUUAUAUUUUUAUAUCCUGUCGGAUGCACACACAAAAGUAGUGCUGCAUAAACAAACAUCUUUACGCACCAGAGUUCAGAGAUGAAACAUGAGAGGAAUCACUCUCUGAGAACAAGAAGAAAUCUUCAACAGAACCAGAACGACUGUCUGCUGGGAUCAGGAGAAGCACUGAGUUUCUUCAAUGAAAAGAAAAACAGAGACAACUCAAAGUUGAUGACAGCAGUAACACUGCUUUCAACGAAAGAUCAGAGGAACAUAGAGGAGUCCAGGAACCUUGACGUUUAUCCUGGAGCGCUGCCCAGAAUCAGCCCCAGGAACCUGAACUGUGUGGGCGUUAAGACUCCACAGCGGGAUUUCAGUGAUUUCACCAUGUUUUCAGGCAUGUGGGCUGCAUCAUGUGUGAAGAAGCAGCUGUCAUAGAAACAACCUAAAUACCUUCUCCCCUGACAGACCUUUGACCUUCUCUUGUCUGAUGAAGAUGAUGCUGGAAGCUGAGCUCCAAAAAACAUCAUUGAACAUUAUGUUUAAUAUGUAUUUGGUCUGGGCUCAAGAAAAGCAUUGAAAAGGAGCAAAUACGACAGUUAAAAAUCUUCACUCUAUUUAUAAUAGAUUUAAUCAGAUUUACUAGAGUUUAAUUAAAUGUUGGUAUAUUUAUUUAAUAUAACAUCUAUUUUU
Poecilia latipinna (sailfin molly) is the source of this 707-nucleotide long non-coding RNA. RefSeq lists it as uncharacterized. The transcript is spliced from 3 exons. The record is from RefSeq and is a predicted model, not a curated record. NCBI's taxonomy places the organism in Eukaryota, Metazoa, Chordata, Actinopteri, Cyprinodontiformes, Poeciliidae.